RNAcentral lists this ribosomal RNA (495 nucleotides) under uncultured bacterium. RNAcentral's name for it is "partial 16S ribosomal RNA". It matches the Rfam family "Bacterial small subunit ribosomal RNA", at positions 28 to 507 of the family's 1533-position model. The record is from RNAcentral.
GAUGAACGCUGGCGGCGUGCCUAAUACAUGCAAGUAGAACGCUGAAGGAGGAGCUUGCUCUUCUGGAUGAGUUGCGAACGGGUGAGUAACGCGUAGGUAACCUGCCUGGUAGCGGGGGAUAACUAUUGGAAACGAUAGCUAAUACCGCAUGACAACAGUUAUUGCAUGAUAACUGUUUAAAAGGGGCAACUGCUCCACUACCAGAUGGACCUGCGUUGUAUUAGCUAGUUGGUGAGGUAACGGCUCACCAAGGCGACGAUACAUAGCCGACCGGAGAGGGUGAUCGGCCACACUGGGACUGAGACACGGCCCAGACUCCUACGGGAGGCAGCAGUAGGGAAUCUGCGGCAAGGGACGGAAGUCUGACCGAGCAACGCCGCGUGAGUGAAGAAGGUUGUCGGAUCGUAAAGCUCGGUUGUAAGAGAAGAACGAGUGUGAGAGUGGAAAGUUCACACUGUGACGGUAUCUUACCAGAAAGGGACGGCUAACUACGUG